RNAcentral lists this ribosomal RNA (301 nucleotides) under uncultured bacterium. Its description in RNAcentral is "partial 16S ribosomal RNA". It matches the Rfam family "Bacterial small subunit ribosomal RNA", at positions 509 to 809 of the family's 1533-position model. The record is from RNAcentral.
CAGCAGCCGCGGGAACACAGAGGGUGCGAGCGUUAAUCGGAUUUACUGGGCGUAAAGCGUGCGUAGGCGGCUUCUUAAGUCGGAUGUGAAAUCCCUGAGCUUAACUUAGGAAUUGCAUUCGAUACUGGGAAGCUAGAGUAUGGGAGAGGAUGGUAGAAUUCCAGGUGUAGCGGUGAAAUGCGUAGAGAUCUGGAGGAAUACCGAUGGCGAAGGCAGCCAUCUGGCCUAAUACUGACGCUGAGGUACGAAAGCAUGGGGAGCAAACAGGAUUAGAUACCCCUGUAGUCCCUGUCUCUUAUAU